This 253-nucleotide ribosomal RNA is filed under the name uncultured bacterium. Its description in RNAcentral is "partial 16S ribosomal RNA". It matches the Rfam family "Bacterial small subunit ribosomal RNA", at positions 524 to 776 of the family's 1533-position model. The record is from RNAcentral.
UACGGAGGGUGCAAGCGUUGUUCGGAAUCAUUGGGCGUAAAGCGCGUGUAGGCGGCUUGGCAAGUCGGUUGUGAAAGCCCGGGGCCCAACCCCGGAAUUGCAUCCGAAACUGCCUGGCUAGGGUUCCGGAGAGGAAGGCAGAAUUCCCGGUGUAGGGGUGAAAUCCGUAGAUAUCGGGAGGAAUACCAGCGGCGAAGGCGGCCUUCUGGACGGUGACUGACGCUGAGACGCGAAAGCGUGGGGAGCAAACAGG